RNAcentral lists this ribosomal RNA (468 nucleotides) under uncultured bacterium. RNAcentral describes it as "partial 16S ribosomal RNA". It matches the Rfam family "Bacterial small subunit ribosomal RNA", at positions 28 to 507 of the family's 1533-position model. The record is from RNAcentral.
GACGAACGCUGGCGGCGUGCUUAACACAUGCAAGUCGAACGGAAGGGCCCUACUUUUGUGUGGUGCUCGAUUGGCGAACGGGUGAGUAACACGUGAGUAACCUGCCCUUGACUUUGUGAUAACUUCAGGAAACUGGGGCUAAUACCGGAUAGGAGCUCCUGCUGCAUGGUGGGGGUUGGAAAGUUUCGGCGGUUGGGGCUGGACUCGCGGCUUAUCAGCUUGUUUGUGGGGUAGUGACUUACCAAGGCUUUGACGGGUAGCCCGCCUGAGAGGGUGAACGGCCACAUUGGGACUGAGAGACGGACCAGAAUCCUACGGGAGGCAGUAGUGGGGAAUAUUGCACAAUGGGCGGAAGCCUGAUGCAGCAACGCCGCGUGCGGGAUGACGGCCUUCGGGUUGUAAACCGCUUUCGAAUGUGACGAAGAGUGAGUGACGGUAAUGGGUAAAGAGGCCCCGGCUAACUACGUG